RNAcentral lists this small RNA (88 nucleotides) under Flavobacterium sp. 9. RNAcentral's name for it is "Flavo-1 RNA". It matches the Rfam family "Flavo-1 RNA". Lineage: Bacteria; Pseudomonadati; Bacteroidota; Flavobacteriia; Flavobacteriales; Flavobacteriaceae. The record is from RNAcentral.
CCUUAGCCCAGACAGCAACGACAUCCUUUAAUGGUGGUCCCGAAGCCUCGGGACGCCAUUAAAGAUAUAGUGAAUGGCUGGAAAAAGC